CGGCCGCAAGGUUGAACUCAAAGGAAUUGACGGGACCCGCACAGCGGUGGAUGAUGUGGUUUAAUUGGAUGCAACGCGAAAACCUUACCCACCUUUGACAUGGCAGGAAGUUUCCAGAGAUGGAUUCGUGCCCGAAAGGGAACCUGCACACAGGUGCUGCAUGGCUGUCGUCAGCUCGUGUCGUGAGAUGUUGGGUUAAGUCCCGCAACGAGCGCAACCCUUGCCAUUAGUUGCUACGAAAGGGCACUCUAAUGGGACUGCCGGUGACAAACCGGAGGAAGGUGGGGAUGACGUCAAGUCCUCAUGGCCCUUAUAGGUGGGGCUACACACGUCAUACAAUGGCUGGUACAGAGGGUUGCCAACCCGCGAGGGGGAGCUAAUCCCAUAAAGCCAGUCGUAGUCCGGAUCGCAGUCUGCAACUCGACUGCGUGAAGUCGGAAUCGCUAGUAAUCGCGGAUCAGAAUGUCGCGGUGAAUACGUUCCCGGGUCUUGUACACACCGCCCGUCACACCAUGGGAGCGGGUUCUGCCAGAAGUAGGUUAGNNUUUNUUCAUGGAUCANAU
This 563-nucleotide ribosomal RNA is filed under the name bacterium HPC774. RNAcentral describes it as "bacterial SSU rRNA". It matches the Rfam family "Bacterial small subunit ribosomal RNA", at positions 883 to 1453 of the family's 1533-position model. The record is from RNAcentral.